CAGCCGUAAACUAUGCUCGCUAGGUGUCAGGCAUGGCGCGACCGUGUCUGGUGCCGCAGGGAAGCCGUGAAGCGAGCCACCUGGAAGUACGGCCGCAAGGCUGAAACUUAAAGGAAUUGGCGGGGGAGCACAACAACGGGUGGAGCCUGCGGUUUAAUUGGACUCAACGCCGGACAACUCACCGGGGACGACAGCAAUAUGUAGGCCAGGCUGAAGACCUUGCCUGAAUCGCUGAGAGGAGGUGCAUGGCGUAGACGUCU
RNAcentral lists this ribosomal RNA (260 nucleotides) under uncultured archaeon. RNAcentral's name for it is "partial 16S ribosomal RNA". It matches the Rfam family "Archaeal small subunit ribosomal RNA", at positions 748 to 1009 of the family's 1478-position model. The record is from RNAcentral.